UUGGGCGAUUGAUUUUAGACAAUUUCGCGAAUUGUGGGCCGAACGUAGUGAGGCUUACAAGCGAAAGUGCCUUAAAUAAGUCGUACCAAACAGGUACAAAUGUAAGUUUUCAUGCAGAAGGCCGAAAUCCUGAGAAAGUUUGAAAAA
This is a long non-coding RNA of Bradysia coprophila, 147 nucleotides long. NCBI's taxonomy places the organism in Eukaryota, Metazoa, Arthropoda, Insecta, Diptera, Sciaridae. The record is from RefSeq and is a predicted model, not a curated record.